UACGUAGGGGGCAAGCGUUGUCCGGAAUCAUUGGGCGUAAAGCGCGUGUAGGCGGUUCGGUAAGUCUGCUGUGAAAGUCCAGGGCUCAACCCUGGGAUGCCGGUGGAUACUGUCGGACUAGAGUACGGAAGAGGCGAGUGGAAUUCCCGGUGUAGCGGUGAAAUGCGCAGAUAUCGGGAGGAACACCAAUUGCGAAGGCAGCUCGCUGGGACGUCACUGACGCUGAGACGCGAAAGCGUGGGGAGCGAACGGG
This 253-nucleotide ribosomal RNA is filed under the name uncultured bacterium. RNAcentral's name for it is "partial 16S ribosomal RNA". It matches the Rfam family "Bacterial small subunit ribosomal RNA", at positions 524 to 776 of the family's 1533-position model. The record is from RNAcentral.